UACGUAGGUGACAAGCGUUGUCCGGAUUUACUGGGCGUAAAGAGCGCGCAGGCGGUCGAUCAAGUCGAGUGUGAAAGCCCCCGGCUCAACUGGGGAGGGUCAUUCGAUACUGAUCGACUCGAAGGCAGGAGAGGGAUGUGGAAUUCCAGGUGUAGCGGUGAAAUGCGUAGAUAUCUGGAGGAACACCGGUGGCGAAGGCGGCAUCCUGGACCGAGAUUGACGCUGAUGCGCGAAAGCCAGGGGAGCAAACGGG
This 253-nucleotide ribosomal RNA is filed under the name uncultured bacterium. RNAcentral describes it as "partial 16S ribosomal RNA". It matches the Rfam family "Bacterial small subunit ribosomal RNA", at positions 524 to 776 of the family's 1533-position model. The record is from RNAcentral.